CCUACGGGGGGCAGCAGUGGGGGAUAUUGCACAAUGGGGGAAACCCUGAUGCAGCAACGCCGCGUGAGUGAAGAAGUAUUUCGGUAUGUAAAGCUCUAUCAGCAGGGAAGAGAAUGACGGUACCUGACUAAGAAGCCCCGGCUAACUACGUGCCAGCAGCCGCGGUAAUACGUAGGGGGCGAGCGUUAUCCGGAUUUACUGGGUGUAAAGGGAGCGUAGACGGCUGGUCAAGUCUGAAGUGAAAGCCCUGGGCUUAACCCCGGAACGGCUUUGGAAACUGAGCAGCUAGAGUGCUGGAGAGGUAAGCGGAAUUCCUAGUGUAGCGGUGAAAUGCGUAGAUAUUAGGAGGAACACCAGUGGCGAAGGCGGCUUACUGGACAGUAACUGACGUUGAGGCUCGAAAGCGUGGGGAGCGAACAGGAUUAGAUACCCUUGUAGUC
Molecule: ribosomal RNA, 440 nt
Filed under: uncultured bacterium
Lineage: Bacteria
Description: partial 16S ribosomal RNA
Rfam family: Bacterial small subunit ribosomal RNA
Source: RNAcentral